CCGUGGAAGACGUCGAGGCAGACACCGUGAUGCGGCUUGCGCGGUCGUAGCAUCUCCGGAUGGCGAUGGGCGGAGCUCCGGACGCGGCGUCGCCAUGGGUUCGGGGACGGCGCGGCCAACAGCAUCAAGAGGUCAUGAAACCUUGUCACAAAGGUAGGUAAGGGUCACAUGAGUCUAUCGGUGAAAGGAAUCGAAAAACGGAGGUUCGGGGUGAUCUCACCGGCAACAAUGGUGGCGGUGACCGGCGGAGGAAGACGUCGACGUAGCCGGCUAUACAAAGGUUUUGAGGCCAAACUUUCAGAGAGAGACGCGCGGGAAGGAAAGUAAUCGAAGAAAAAAAAUAUGUACGGAGAAGAUUCCUUACGUGCAGAGGAUGAAAGAAGCACGAGCUCGUGCUCGUGGCUGGCUGGGGCGCUCGAUGGAGAUGGGCCGGCCCAUUCUUUUUUUUUUCCUUUUCUUUUUUUUUCCAUUUCUGUUUUUAUUAAUAACUUUUGAUUUUUAACUCCAAAUAAGUCCAAAUAAAUUGCAGUAAAUUUGUAAAUUCAAAUCCUAUAAAGUGUGAACUUUUGAGACUUGAAUCAUUUGAAAAGAAAAUAAGUAAAAAUACUUUUGCUUAUAUAAAUGUCAUUAGGGCUUUAUAAGUAAUAAAUAAAAUAGAUUUUGAAAUCUAUUAUGAAACUUUUGUUUCAUAAAUUAGUUUAAACUUCAAUAAAAUAUUGGGUUGGCAUACUUUGCACUAAAACACUUUCUU
RNAcentral lists this long non-coding RNA (751 nucleotides) under Brachypodium distachyon (stiff brome). RNAcentral describes it as "long non-coding RNA (BDIS_LNC005473)". The record is from RNAcentral. Lineage: Eukaryota; Viridiplantae; Streptophyta; Magnoliopsida; Poales; Poaceae.